This 806-nucleotide ribosomal RNA is filed under the name uncultured Pelagibacteraceae bacterium. RNAcentral describes it as "bacterial SSU rRNA". It matches the Rfam family "Bacterial small subunit ribosomal RNA", at positions 33 to 887 of the family's 1533-position model. Lineage: Bacteria; Pseudomonadati; Pseudomonadota; Alphaproteobacteria; Candidatus Pelagibacterales; Candidatus Pelagibacteraceae. The record is from RNAcentral.
ACGCUGGCGGCACGCCUAACACAUGCAAGUCGAACGAAGUAGCAAUACUUAGUGGCAGACGGGUGAGUAACAUGUAGGUAUCUACCCUAUGGCCUGGAAUAACACGAGGAAACUUGUGCUAAUACUGGAUAAGUCUUUACGGAGAAAGCUUUAUGCACCAUUGGAUGAGCCUGCACUUGAUUAGUUUGUUGGUAGGGUAAUGGCCUACCAAGACUGUGAUCAAUAGCUGAUUUGAGAGGAUGAUCAGCCACAUUGGGACUGAGACACGGCCCAAACUCCUACGGGAGGCAGCAGUGGGGAAUCUUGCACAAUGGAGGAAACUCUGAUGCAGCGAUGCCGCGUGAGUGAAGAAGGCCUUUGGGUUGUAAAGCUCUUUCGUCGGGGAAGAAAAUGACUGUACCCGAAUAAGAAGGUCCGGCUAACUUCGUGCCAGCAGCCGCGGUAAUACGAAGGGACCUAGCGUAGUUCGGAAUUACUGGGCUUAAAGAGUUCGUAGGUGGUUGAAAAAGUUGGUGGUGAAAUCCCAGAGCUUAACUCUGGAACUGCCAUCAAAACUUUUCAGCUAGAGUUUGAUAGAGGAAAGCAGAAUUUCUAGUGUAGAGGUGAAAUUCGUAGAUAUUAGAAAGAAUACCAAUUGCGAAGGCAGCUUUCUGGAUCAUUACUGACACUGAGGAACGAAAGCAUGGGUAGCGAAGAGGAUUAGAUACCCUCGUAGUCCAUGCCGUAAACGAUGUGUGUUAGACGUUGGAAAUUUAUUUUCAGUGUCGCAGCGAAAGCAAUAAACACACCGCCUGGGGAGUACGACC